This 493-nucleotide ribosomal RNA is filed under the name uncultured bacterium. RNAcentral's name for it is "partial 16S ribosomal RNA". It matches the Rfam family "Bacterial small subunit ribosomal RNA", at positions 36 to 507 of the family's 1533-position model. The record is from RNAcentral.
UCCUCCCUCUUUCUUCGUGCUUAACACAUGCAAGUCGAACGGUGAAGGGACCGGUUUUUGCUGGCUCUGGAUGAGUGGCGAACGGGUGAGUAACACGUGAGUAACCUGCCCCCUUCUUCUGGAUAACCGCAUGAAAGUGUGGCUAAUACGGGAUAUUCUGCGCCUGCUGCAUGGUGGGUGUGGGAAAGAUAUUGUUUCGGUGGGGGAUGGGCUCGCGGCCUAUCAGCUUGUUGGUGGGGUGAUGGCCUACCAAGGCGGUGACGGGUAGCCGGCCUGAGAGGGUGGACGGUCACACUGGGACUGAGACACGGCCCAGACUCCUACGGGAGGCAGCAGUGGGGAAUAUUGCACAAUGGGCGCAAGCCUGAUGCAGCGACGCCGCGUGAGGGAUGGAGGCCUUCGGGUUGUAAACCUCUUUCGCCAGUGAAGCAGGCCUGUCCCUUUUGUGGGUGGGUUGACGGUAGCUGGAUAAGAAGCGCCGGCUAACUACGUG